RNAcentral lists this ribosomal RNA (919 nucleotides) under Campylobacter jejuni. RNAcentral's name for it is "partial 23S ribosomal RNA". It matches the Rfam family "Bacterial large subunit ribosomal RNA", at positions 1466 to 2360 of the family's 2925-position model. Lineage: Bacteria; Pseudomonadati; Campylobacterota; Epsilonproteobacteria; Campylobacterales; Campylobacteraceae. The record is from RNAcentral.
GGAAGGACGCUUAGGGCUAAGGGGGCUAGCGGAUGGAAGUGCUAGUCUAAGGUCGUAGGAGGUUAUACAGGCAAAUCCGUAUAACAAUACUCCGAGAACUGAAAGGCUUUUUGAAGUCUUCGGAUGGAUAGAAGAACCCCUGAUGCCGUCGAGCCAAGAAAAGUUUCUAAGUUUAGCUAAUGUUGCCCGUACCGUAAACCGACACAGGUGGGUGGGAUGAGUAUUCUAAGGCGCGUGGAAGAACUCUCUUUAAGGAACUCUGCAAAAUAGCACCGUAUCUUCGGUAUAAGGUGUGGUUAGCUUCGUACUAGGAUUUACUCCGAAAGCGAAGAAACUUACAACAAAGAGUCCCUCCCGACUGUUUACCAAAAACACAGCACUCUGCUAACUCGUAAGAGGAUGUAUAGGGUGUGACGCCUGCCCGGUGCUCGAAGGUUAAUUGAUGGGGUUAGCAUUAGCGAAGCUCUUGAUCGAAGCCCGAGUAAACGGCGGCCGUAACUAUAACGGUCCUAAGGUAGCGAAAUUCCUUGUCGGUUAAAUACCGACCUGCAUGAAUGGCGUAACGAGAUGGGAGCUGUCUCAAAGAGGGAUCCAGUGAAAUUGUAGUGGAGGUGAAAAUUCCUCCUACCCGCGGCAAGACGGAAAGACCCCGUGGACCUUUACUACAGCUUGACACUGCUACUUGGAUAAGAAUGUGCAGGAUAGGUGGGAGGCUUUGAGUAUAUGACGCCAGUUGUAUAUGAGCCAUUGUUGAGAUACCACUCUUUCUUAUUUGGGUAGCUAACCAGCUUGAGUUAUCCUCAAGUGGGACAAUGUCUGGUGGGUAGUUUGACUGGGGCGGUCGCCUCCCAAAUAAUAACGGAGGCUUACAAAGGUUGGCUCAGAACGGUUGGAAAUCGUUCGUAGAGUAUAAAGGUAU